CCUACGUGUGGCUGCAGUGGGGAAUAUUGGACAAUGGGCGAAAGCCUGAUCCAGCCAUGCCGCGUGUGUGAAGAAGGCCUUCGGGUUGUAAAGCACUUUCAGUGGGGAAGAAAGCCUUGGGGCUAAUACCCUCGAGGUAGGACAUCACCCACAGAAGAAGCACCGGCUAACUCCGUGCCAGCAGCCGCGGUAAUACGGAGGGUGCGAGCGUUAAUCGGAAUUACUGGGCGUAAAGCGCGCGUAGGCGGUCUGAUAAGCCGGUUGUGAAAGCCCCGGGCUCAACCUGGGAACGGCAUCCGGAACUGUCAGGCUAGAGUGCAGGAGAGGAAGGUAGAAUUCCCGGUGUAGCGGUGAAAUGCGUAGAGAUCGGGAGGAAUACCAGUGGCGAAGGCGGCCUUCUGGACUGACACUGACGCUGAGGUGCGAAAGCGUGGGUAGCAAACAGGAUUAGAUACCCGAGUAGUC
Molecule: ribosomal RNA, 465 nt
Filed under: Vreelandella stevensii
Lineage: Bacteria; Pseudomonadati; Pseudomonadota; Gammaproteobacteria; Oceanospirillales; Halomonadaceae
Description: partial 16S ribosomal RNA
Rfam family: Bacterial small subunit ribosomal RNA
Source: RNAcentral